This is a long non-coding RNA of Mirounga angustirostris (Northern elephant seal), 1828 nucleotides long. RefSeq lists it as uncharacterized. The record is from RefSeq and is a predicted model, not a curated record. The transcript is spliced from 5 exons. NCBI's taxonomy places the organism in Eukaryota, Metazoa, Chordata, Mammalia, Carnivora, Phocidae.
UUGGCUGAGGGGAAAAAAAAUGUUUUUGAAGCUGCUGAGUGAACCUUGCCUCUUUUCGUGUAGCCAAUUCCCCGACUGUGAUCUCAAAGUGGCAACGGGCAAUUUCUGGGCUAUCUUUUGGACCAGCAUUGUCAAGCCAGGCCACUGGACAGAACUGAAAGCUGGCUGCCAAAACUGUUUAAUUAUCCUUCUGAAAUGUUUCUUGGUCGAGAAUAAUGGUGCAGAGAGUGCACCAGACAAGUGGUUCCGUGGAGGAAAGGCAAAUAAAUCGCUAUGACUGAUGGCCCUACUUGAAACACAAGGAAUGGAAGAAGGCCCUGGAAGAUUAUCAAGGACCUUGUCUUAAUCCACUACAGCAAAUACCACAGACUUAAACAACAAGCAAUUUAUUUCUCGAAGUCUGGAGGCUGAGAAGUCCAAGAUCAAGGUGCCAUCAGAUUCUGUGGCUGGUGAGGACCUGCUUCCUGAUUCACAGAUGACAGUCUUCUUGGAUCCUCACACAGGAGAAAGAGAACUACCUAAAUCUCUGGUCUCUUCUUCCAAAGUGAGAAUCACCUGCAACUCUGGAGAAUCUGCUGCCCUUUAAGGAAAAAGCCAGUCAGAAGUUUCUCAUGCUGACUCCUCCCUCUAGGAUGGUUUCUCUCCAACCCCAGCCAGAAUGCACCGAUGCAAACAUUGUUCGUCUGACAGCACUACAUGGUGGAGGACGCACUACGCAGUUGGGUAACUGGAAAAAACAGCUGUGUGGUGCAGGAACCAGCCGGGAGGCAGAUGCAGAACGGAAGCACUCUCCUAGACAUUUUGAUUCCCUGAAGUCUAGAUCCAAAGACCCUUCCUUCUCCCCUGAUAAAACUUCCAGCCCCCUUUUCCUGUCCGAGAAACCCCUGGCACCCAGGUGACUGGCCUGCCUCCAGCCAAGGUCCGUCUACCCACUGGUGGGAUGGGCGGGGCCUCACAGCGAAGGACCAGACAGAAUACACAGAACACCAUGCAGUCACCCAAAUGGCCUUGCAGGGUGCGCAUGCUAGGCAGCCGUUUCUCUGCUUGAGCUCUUGAGCCCAUUCAGCUCGUUCAUCCAAGGACACGUCCACCUUAAUUUUAUAUGUGUAACAAUCGUGUCAAAAUUAAUUCCUUCUUCCAUGAUACAUAGCAUUUCAUCCCUUCAGUGUUUUUGCUUCCUUUUAAGCAUGGUUUGCUAUUUUGCCUAUUUUAGCAUUUUAAAGACUUCUUUUUUUUAUUUUUUUAUUGUUAUGUUAAUCCCCAUACAUUACAUCAUUAGUUUUAGAUGUAGUGUUCCAUGAUUCAUUGUUCGUGCAUAACACCCAGUGCUCCAUGCAGAACGUGCCCUCUUUAAUACCCAUAAAGACUUCUUUUUUAAAAGCCAUCUCAUCUGAGUACAUCUUAAUUGGCUGAAAAUCCUUGAAAUGCUGAAACAUAGCUAAAUGAGAAAAAUGCAUCUAGAGUAAAGGGCUGCUGCUGACCUUCCAGGAGCAGCACCCAGGGUUCAAUCCCCCCUCUUUUGAUGCAAAAUUCAAAAUCCAGGAUGCAAAAUUCAUUCUUUGGGGCAAUAAAAUGAAUGAGUAGUAUUUUCUUAUAUUACUAGAAAAGAAAUACAUGUUGAUUGUAGAAAUUUUAGAAAAUGUAUAGUCAAAAGGAGGAGGCAGAGAAUGGAAAGAGAGGGAAGAAAUUAGAAAUAACCACUACCAUUACCCGCAAAGUCAUAAUUUCUCAUUAGUACAUCCUGGGAACCUAUUAGGUCUUUUUUUUUUUUUUUAAGAUUUAUUUAUUUUAGAGAGAGAGAAGAGAGCAUGGAGGGGAGGGGCAGAGG